RNAcentral lists this transfer RNA (67 nucleotides) under Thelepus plagiostoma. RNAcentral describes it as "tRNA-Ser". Lineage: Eukaryota; Metazoa; Annelida; Polychaeta; Terebellida; Terebellidae. The record is from RNAcentral.
GGCAAUCUGUUUUGGAAACACCUGGUUUUGAAAACCAACCAAAGACGUUCGACUCGCCUGAUUCCCU